GCCAGUAUGGCUCAGUUGGUUGGAGUAUCAUCCAGAAGGUGGCGGGUUCAAUUCCUGUUCAUGGCA
Molecule: transfer RNA, 66 nt
Filed under: Myotis myotis
Lineage: Eukaryota; Metazoa; Chordata; Mammalia; Chiroptera; Vespertilionidae
Also listed under: 1 other name
Rfam family: tRNA
About the family: Transfer RNA (tRNA) molecules are approximately 80 nucleotides in length. Their secondary structure includes four short double-helical elements and three loops (D, anti-codon, and T loops).
Source: Rfam by way of RNAcentral